This 774-nucleotide ribosomal RNA is filed under the name uncultured Neocallimastigales. RNAcentral's name for it is "partial large subunit ribosomal RNA". It matches the Rfam family "Eukaryotic large subunit ribosomal RNA", at positions 24 to 635 of the family's 3401-position model. The record is from RNAcentral. Lineage: Eukaryota; Fungi; Neocallimastigomycota; Neocallimastigomycetes; Neocallimastigales.
UAUGUGAUCGUCUCUCGCAUAUCAAUAAGCGGAGGAAAAGAAACUAACAAGGAUUCCCCUAGUAACGGCGAGUGAAGCGGGAAGAGCUCAAAUUUGAAAUCUUAAAGGGUUUCCCUUUACGAAUUGUAGUUUAAAGAAGUGUUUUCUGUUGAGGUUUUGGUAAAAGUUCUUUGGAAUAGGACAUCAUAGAGGGUGAGAAUCCCGUAUUUGACCUUUACUUUCAACUUUGUGAUACACUUUCAAAGAGUCGGAUUGUUUGGGAAUGCAGUCCAAAAUGGGUGGUAAAUUUCAUCUAAAGCUAAAUAUUGGCGAGAGACUGAUAGCGAACAAGUACCGUGAGGGAAAGAUGAAAAGAACUUUGAAAAGAGAGUUAAACAGUACGUGAAAUUGUCAAAAGGGAAGCGUUUGACACCAGUGUUGUUUUUCUGAAAAUCAAUUAAAGAACUGUUUAUGCUAAGUUGUUUAGACUUUAUCAGCUAUCUGUUUAGUUUUGAGCUUUUCUUUAAUGCACUUUUCAGUUAACAAGUCAACAUCAAUUUCUUUUGCUGUAAAAAAGCUUGAGGAAGGUGGCUUGAGAUUCGUCUUAAGUGUUUAUAGCCUCUUGCCUAUGCAGUCGGAGAGAUUGAGGUCUGCAGCGUAGAUCCUUCGGGGCUAAAUGCAUUUGUGCUAAGUUAUAGCAUUUUAUAGACAACUUGUUGACUAUGAUUUGUCUUGUAGCUUACUCGCUUAUGUUAUUUUACCUACGCUUAGGAUGUUGAUCUACAGAGCGAGAGU